Long non-coding RNA from Gasterosteus aculeatus aculeatus (three-spined stickleback), 2835 nucleotides. The record is from Ensembl. Lineage: Eukaryota; Metazoa; Chordata; Actinopteri; Perciformes; Gasterosteidae.
GGACACAUGCCAGAUUAGAUUCAAGGUAACCUGUGGCCGGUGUUGCUGGACUCCUCUACAGUGGUGCCGACAUGUCCCUGGUCAUCACACUUCAGAAUGGGAACCAGCAGCAGGACAGGUCAUGUGUACAGGCUUGAUUAUGUGUAUUAAAAAAACACAAGGGAGUUGUUGUUUGUUGUUUUUUGAAUAGCACAAAAUGGCACAUUUUAGUAUUAGUCGGUGAAUCAGAUGGCUGAUACUGUAACUUAUAUUCGUUGGCAGUUGGUGUACUCAUUUGACCGUAUAGAAAUCAGUAAGUGAUCUCUGGGGCAUCUCGGGAGGACAGUUGGGUUGUGUCCCACAUUUCUGCUGCUUUGUGUUGUGUAAUCCUCUCCAGCGGCACUGACGCGCACUCCGGACCUCACGAGCCGGGUCGGCUCCAUCGUCCUCUGCUGUGCUGCCUGACAGACCGUGAUGGAUGCAUGGCGCCGUCCCUGAUGACCAGAGCCCGAGAAGGAGAGGAUCCACGUCCCAUGUGUUUCCCCCACUGAGAGGCGACUUCUGAUGCUUUUGCGCGUCAGUGAAAAUGCGCUGUCACUGCCGCUUUGUGGACAGUGUCAAUGCGAACAGGAAGGCAUUUCACAGCUGGCGUUUUGAGUCCAAAAUCAUUUUUCUGUUGCAUUUCUUCCUAUUUCAAAUAUGCACCUUUUCUCAGCUGUAAGUAAUACUGAUGAAGCUAAAUUCACUCCCACUAUCAUUACUUUGUUUGGCUGAUUUAAAAACACGGAAGUAUUUAACGCCGUGCGUUUCACUGACCUCUUUGAUCCAUUACUUCGGUUACUGCAUCAAACAUUCUGGCUUCUUUUCCCUGUAUCGGACACUUUAAAUGAACCAGAAAUGAUCCUGUAACGUGUUAACUUUUCUCCAAAGCCAAAACGUUAUCGGUGCCAGAUCCAGGACGAGAAAGCUUUUGAUAUUUUUAGCCUGUAACAUAAAAAAAUAAUCUGCUUAUCUGAUUAAGAAAGACUAGUUUUCUCACAUUUUGACAAUGUGUAAUUCACACAUUAUGUUCUUUGUUUGUCUUGAUACUUUUAUGGUUUGACGGUACUCAGUGUAUUUUUACUGAAGCGUGUGGGCAGGUGUGUGCCGGCGUGAGAGCAUGUGUUUGUGUGCAUGUGCUCUAUUUGUGUGUGUGUGUGUGUGUGUGUGUGUGUGUGUUUAUUCCUGUAUAUCUGCAUGUGUCUCUAUGAAAACACACUUUUGUAAUUGGCCUGAAGCUUCGAGCUGCUUUUCAGUGGAUUUGUUUUUCUCUCUUCCUAUACCACACUGAAUGUACCAGACAAAGGAUUAAAACAUAUUUACAAAUGAUUCUUAGCAUUUGUUAGGACCCCAUUGAAGCAGUUUGGUGGGGGUUCCUGUGAUCUAGACAGUUACAGGAAUCAGGCUGGAAAUGAAUGGUGUGUAGUUUUCUAAACGAUGCCUGCUAGCAUCAAUUAAACCGUUCCAAAGCUUAACGCCCCAUCAUCCAAUACUGCAGCAAAUGCUAAUUAUUAUGUGCAAAUAGCUUUUUACCGAGAUCUGGGUUCUACUAACAAUACCUGACUAAUAUCUAACAAUACUAAUGUCUGCUAACAGUCUGAUGAUUACUAACCUGUUCUCCGAAUGCUGAUGGCUGGCUUUGUUCUUUCUAACCCCCUGACUAACCCUCUGCUUUAUGCCCGCAGUCCAAUGCAAACACGCCUCUCUCAUGAUCCCGCAAUCCUUCUUGUAGAAAGCCUAGACCAAGAUGCAUUAUUAAAAUAAAAUAAUCAAUAAAAACGGUUAAAAAAUAAAAAAGUGAACAAGUCAAGAAGGGUUUCAGGACUUGGGAGGGUAAAUGUUAUUAACCACUAGAUUGAAAGAGGAGGAUAAUCAGCUGCUGAUAUCCAACUGGUUUGACCACAUACUUCAGAAUCCUCAUAAAACCGAUCAUGAUCUGAUCGUAAAAUAAUAUCACGUCACCGUGUCUCAAAUCACAGGCUUUAAAAUUCCCAUCUUAAGAGACCGUCUUUCUGUCUCGACCUAUGUGGUCAACCCUUGCAGAUGAGUGCCUGGCUGCUUGUCAGCUCAGACCAAGCAAACCUCAACUCCACCACUAACUUAUUAUGGUAUUGAUACUAACCUUGGUGAGGCUGUAAACACCCACCCUACUGCUGUUACUAACAUCUGCGUUCCUUCUGACUGAAACAUCCUGAUGUGUGUAAUCAAAUCAUCCCGUCUCUUUGUUCUUCUUUAAUCAAAUACACGAGCAUGCCUUGUGGCACUAGUGAUGCUUAUUAAAUUACAGUAGAUGGAAGUUUUUUAUUCCAAACAUCUUUUAGUGCCAUGAGUGAGGAUGCUUGUUAGGAGUCCUGUUGCUCCAGCAGGGUCAGUGACCUGCUCGCCGGAAGUCCUUAUAAACAACCUACUAACGUCUGCUAAAGAUAAAUCAACUUCGACUAACGAAACAAUUUUAAUAUCUAUCUGCAAACUAACAAACUAACCCACUAAUGAACUAAUAAUCUAACAAUCACUAAAUAACUAACUUUGUGCUGAGUGGCAGAAUUAAUAAGCACGUUUUGAGGAGUUGCAUCACCUUUUGAAAUGUGCUAACAUAUUUUAGUUUUUAAAGAACAACUUAUUCAUGUGCCUUCUGUAAUUGUGUGUAUGUGUGUGAGAAAAAGAGCACGCAGUGUGUUUGUUAUCGCUCUCAGCCAAUGCAUUCAACAUACCAAUGAAGGUAUAUCCAUAGAGAUGUUUUAGCCAAAUGCAUCCAGUCACUGACUUCUCUUGUAGUACUACUGAGCACCGAGUUACAUACACCCAAACAAUACGCUG